GGAUGCGAUCAUACCAGCACUAAUGCACCGGAUCCCAUCAGAACUCCGAAGUUAAGCGUGCUUGGGCGAGAGUAGUACUACCUGGGAAGUCCUCGUGUUGCAUCCC
RNAcentral lists this ribosomal RNA (106 nucleotides) under Ipomoea nil (Japanese morning glory). Lineage: Eukaryota; Viridiplantae; Streptophyta; Magnoliopsida; Solanales; Convolvulaceae. The record is from RNAcentral.